This 253-nucleotide ribosomal RNA is filed under the name uncultured bacterium. RNAcentral describes it as "partial 16S ribosomal RNA". It matches the Rfam family "Bacterial small subunit ribosomal RNA", at positions 524 to 776 of the family's 1533-position model. The record is from RNAcentral.
UACGUAGGGUGCGAGCGUUAAUCGGAAUUACUGGGCGUAAAGCGUGCGCAGGCGGUUGGCAAAGUCAGCUGUGAAAUCCCCGGGCUCAACCUGGGAACUGCAUUUGUGACUGCACGGCUCGAGUGCGGCAGAGGGGGAUGGAAUUCCGCGUGUAGCAGUGAAAUGCGUAGAUAUGCGGAGGAACACCGAUGGCGAAGGCAAUCCCCUGGGCCUGCACUGACGCUCAUGCACGAAAGCGUGGGGAGCAAACAGG